GUCCCCUUGGUCUAGUGGUUAGGACACCGCCCUUUCACGGCGGCAGCACGGGUUCGAGUCCCGUAGGGGACGCCA
RNAcentral lists this transfer RNA (75 nucleotides) under bacterium. RNAcentral's name for it is "tRNA-Glu". It matches the Rfam family "tRNA". Rfam says of the family: Transfer RNA (tRNA) molecules are approximately 80 nucleotides in length. Their secondary structure includes four short double-helical elements and three loops (D, anti-codon, and T loops). The record is from RNAcentral.